AGUCACUGACAUUAGACUACCCCGGUAGUCCCAGCCGUAAACUAUGCGCGUUAGGUGUAUCGGUGACCACGAGUUACCGAGGUGCCGAAGGGAAACCGUGAAACGUGCCGCCUGGGAAGUACGGUCGCAAGGCUGAAACUUAAAGGAAUUGGCGGGGAGCACCACAACGGGUGGAGCCUGCGGUUUAAUUGGACUCAACGCCGGGAAGCUCACCAGAUAAGACAGCGGAAUGAUUGCCGGGCUGAAGACUCUGCAUGACUAGCUG
RNAcentral lists this ribosomal RNA (265 nucleotides) under uncultured archaeon. Its description in RNAcentral is "partial 16S ribosomal RNA". It matches the Rfam family "Archaeal small subunit ribosomal RNA", at positions 718 to 982 of the family's 1478-position model. The record is from RNAcentral.